UAAAUAUUACAUGUAUUUUCUACAAAUCGAGUCAAACUUGUGGCACAAAAACUUAAAACGACAUUUUUUUUUUUAACGGAGCGAGUACCCACGAUCUCACGCACAGCAAACCGCAUCCGCACGCAAUCUCAUUGUCCUUCUCACGCACACCCACCCACCGCUGCCACCCCCUCCUCACCGUCUCACGGCACUCCGCGUGGCACCGGCACCGUCUCAGGCAGACAGAU
RNAcentral lists this long non-coding RNA (227 nucleotides) under Sorghum bicolor (sorghum). RNAcentral's name for it is "long non-coding RNA (SBIC_LNC012121)". The record is from RNAcentral. Lineage: Eukaryota; Viridiplantae; Streptophyta; Magnoliopsida; Poales; Poaceae.